This 638-nucleotide long non-coding RNA is filed under the name Lonchura striata (white-rumped munia). Its description in RNAcentral is "domestica (Bengalese finch) lncRNA (ENSLSDG00000006633.1)". The record is from RNAcentral. Lineage: Eukaryota; Metazoa; Chordata; Aves; Passeriformes; Estrildidae.
UAACUAGAUGUGCUCUUUCUGAUUCCUAGAAGAAACUCUUCCUCUGUACCAGACCCAGCAAACAGUGGCAUAUGUGAUGACUGGCUAACAUAUGCACUUUGAAAGGUCACCCUGUCCAUCUGCCAGAUCAGCUGGCCCAAAGCAUCUGACUGACCUGUUUGUUUCAUUCCAGCAGUCUGGGGCUGACAAUCCAUGAAGGAAGAAUAAGGGAAUCCUGAAGCAGCAACAGACUGUUUGCUCCUGGACUUUGUCCAGAGGGACUGUUUGCACAUCAGUGCUCUCUCUUACCAGACACUCGUGUGACUGUGCUUGGAGCUGCUGGACUGGAACGCUUCAGACCCAUCCUCUCCAAAGGAGCUGCCCAUUCACUGUAACCCUUGGUGUGGAGCAGGGUGGCACCAGCCCUGGCUUGCUUGGGACCAUGGAAGAAAAGGAGAUGUCACCGAGUCUCACCUCAGAGAGCAGCAUAUUGGACCUCCCCUCUGUUUGUGACCUAGCAGAGCCCUUUCUGCCUCCACACAGCUCUGAAAACAGCCAGGAGCUUUAUCCUUCUGGGGAUGUUUUUCCCUCCCCACCCACAGGUAACAGCUUCUGCUUCUCCACAUGCUCUUUCUUUAGCCAGUGCUUCAUCUGUGUAG